GCUGUGGAGAUCUGCUCAAGCGCUCGGCCUACAAAUACUUCGCAGGAACGAUUCAAUACGCUCCACCUGAGUGGUUCUGCAGACAGCGCUACCAUGCGGGUCCAGCUACGGUGUGGUCAGUAGGAGUGACCCUCUUCAACAUCCUGUGCAACCGUUUCCCCUUCGGAGGCUCACUGAGGGUCACGUCCAGGAGCAAACUGACCUUCCCCAUAACUCUGUCAACAGAGGCAGUAGACGCAGAUGGAGAAGAGGAGAACACACACCGAACACACACUGAACAGCAGAUUCCAGCAGAAAACACACUCUGAUGCAGGUGAUGUGGAGGUGCUGUUAAACCGUUCAGCACAAGGAGACUCUUGCUCUAAAAUGAACAACAGGCCAUUAUUAAAGUGAAUAUAUAUUUAGUUAUUAUAUUCAUUUUAUUUUAUCUUUACUGAUUACACACAAUAAUGAAAAAUAUGAGUUUAACACGGAUGAAUUUGCUAAAAGUGGUUGGAAAAUCAGAAGUUAAAGAUUCUAAUAUUAAAUACACUAUAAAUCAUCGUUUUACAAAAUAUAAUGAAUUUGCUGUUAAUUUAAUUUAAAGUAUUAUUAGAAACUAAGAUACACUUUAAAAACUAAUUAUAAACACUUAUUUUACUAAUAUACUUUAUUAAAUAUACAUUAUUUCUGUAUUUGAAGUCGGACUAUGGCUGCAGGAUUGUGUUGCUUAAUUAUUUGCAGGACUUUGCAUUAAUUAUCGAUAAAAUUCAUUCAAAUAAUAUUAAAAUAAUAAAACUUUAGGUAAACAUGUAAACUUAUCAUUAAAGCACAGCUAUAUUAUGAAGAGAUAAACUAUAAUUGACACUAAUAUUAGCUGUAAUCCAUAAUCAUCAAAAUGAACUGAAAUAAACACUUGAAAUAAAUUAUUCUGAGUGUAAUGAAUGAUUAAAUAAUUCCCCAGCACGGUUUAAUUGAGAAAAUAUCUUUUGCAACACAUUUUUAAACAUAAUAUGUUAAAUAAAUAAUCUCUAAUAACUCAUGACACAAUAUUUUAAUAGUUAUUUUACAAGACACUAGUAUUCAGCCUAAAGUGCAGUUUAAAGGCUUAACUGGGUUAAUUAGGUUAACUAAAGUUAGUUUAAUUUAGGCAAAUCAUAGGACAACAGUGUUUGGUUCUGUAGCCAAAAAAAAAAAAAAAAAAAAAAAAAUCUUACAGGGCUAAUAAUAAUGUGCUUAAUUUUUUGUUUGUUUUUAUCAAAAACUGUUUUCACUUCAGCCAAACUGAAAAAUAAACUUCACUGAUCUGAUAAGAUCUCUUAGAUCAUUGUCACAAAGCACAGAUUUUCCAUUAGGCUUUCUUUAGUCUUGUGUAUUGAUUAAUGUGCGCGAGGGCAACUAUUGGUUUAAUGAGGGAGUUUUCUGAGAGAUGAAGAGCUGUAAAGUGAGUGUUCAAUUACAAAAAGAAAUGAUUAUACAAACUCAGUGUUUCCUUUUAUUAACAUUGACAAAACCGUAUUACUUUAAAAGAAAUAUGAUUAUCAAAGCAUGUCUUAGAGCGAAUAAGCCCAACAGGAUUUUUAUGUAAUCGCCUUUUUUCUUAAUUUAUAUAUAAAAUAAAUGUUUAAUUAGUAAUCACUACUGAUGGGUUAGAUUUUCAAUAUUCAAUAUUGUUCAGUAAUUAUUCAGCAGUAAUUAAACAUCUCUGUAGCAUUUCCUCCUGCAGAUGUGGUUCAGUCAGUUCAGCACUGCAGGGAGCUGUCCAUUGUGCUGAAUUUACUCCACACUAAACUCUCUUCUCACAUUAAAUUCAUUAUAAGUGUCUGAUCAGUGAA
Non-coding RNA from Danio rerio (zebrafish), 1814 nucleotides. NCBI's taxonomy places the organism in Eukaryota, Metazoa, Chordata, Actinopteri, Cypriniformes, Danionidae. The record is from RefSeq and is a predicted model, not a curated record.